Molecule: small nuclear RNA, 105 nt
Organism: Cervus hanglu yarkandensis (Yarkand deer)
Lineage: Eukaryota; Metazoa; Chordata; Mammalia; Artiodactyla; Cervidae
Source: Ensembl
AUGCUCACUUCAGCAGCAUAUAUACUGAAAUUGAAAUGAUACAGAGAUUAGCAUGGCCCCCUGAGCAAGGAUGACAUGCAAAUUCAUGAAGUGUUCCGUAUUUUU